GCUCCGGGUGUGUCACGAUCCAGCCCUCCCCUGGGAGGUAGGAUUGGGGUGUCAGCCCCUCGUGUUAAAAUGACUGAAGAGUCUUCAGCAGGAAGAGGCUGAGGCUGUGAUCUGUGUCCCCCUGCAGUGGUGGGACCCACUCAACAAUGUCCCCACCUGAGACGUAUACAGAGCAAGAGUUUCAGGACACACACCGCCUGGGAGAGGAGGCUGUGCUGGGGGACCUGCGCUCCCAGAGUUUGUCAGAGCAAAAGAGAGCAUGACAGCUUUUCCACGCAGCCGAGGUGGAGCAGGCAUGGUCUCAUCAGAGAAGGCCGUCUGGAGGGAUGAACAGACAGAUAAUGCCCAAUGCCAGCAAGUGGAGGGGUAACAGCGGGCUGGAGAUGAGUGCAUUGUCUGUAUUAGUGAUCGACAGAGAAGAUGGAGGUCUCCGGUGAUGGGAACGUCAAACAAAACCCACAGAAAAGAGAGGAGAACAAGAGCUGGCUUUCAAUGCUCUCCAGGCCCUGAGAGGACAACCCAGAGCCGACAUGAGCACGGGGGUAAGGAAAACUUCUCUGCAGGGCGUUACCUCUUCCCCUUCCCUUGUGCUCUCCCUGGAGGGGUCAGAAAUCACAGCAAACAGGAUGGAGGAGGAGAUGGAGGCAAAGCACAGGUGAGGAGAAAACACAUCCCCUUCCUCUGCUGCCAGCUUCCUCCUGCAACGGGUCACCAGCAGGGCAGAAAAAGAAAACUUAAGGUUGAACCAGGUUCUACGUUUUAUCUGGUCCAUGGGGCUGGACUUUUACAUUAUUGAUUAGAGAAGCUUGUAUCACCCGAGUGACCAGAAACCUUGCCUGAAUUUUCAUCCAAGUGCAAGGAAUGAGGAAGCCUCCACAGUGGAGUUAAGGGACAGCGAGAAGCAAAGCACUGCUUCUUGACGGUAUGCCAUGGGUCUUACUUGUCCAAUGCAAUGGUUACAUAAAGCAGGCUGAGGGCUCUUUAAUCAACAGUAUCAUGAAUAUGGGAAAGGGCAAUGAAAAAGACCAAGGGCAUUGUAUAGGGGAAGGAGGGACGGCAAAUAAGAAGCGAUUUUUAAAAUUUCAGUAUGAAGGCAAAGGUUGAAAUGGAAAUUGCAUAGACACCACUAAAACCAUAAAUGAUAUGGGUAAGGUCAAUAAAAGUCUUUGACAGCCCCCAGCGUCAAAUACAGAGCACGAACUCAAGGUAAGAGAAAGAAAAAGCAAGACUACCUCCUCUAAGGGGAGAUGCUGUUUCUCAAGAAAUGGUAUGGAUUCAAAUACCUGGAAGUGGAAAUUUUUAAACCUAAAUUCACUUGAAUGUGGAAAAUAAGCCUAUCUGAUGCAGCACUUUAGGGAGAGGGAAGAAUCUACGAUUAUAUCAACAGGAUGAAAAGUCUUGAAAUGCAGCUAGACAUACCCAUAACUCUACUGAUAUUUGAUGAAUUUCAAUAAUUCACUUAAAUUUUCUCAACUAUAUCCCACACAACACUUCUAAGCAGCAGGUGACAGCUAUUGUUACAACCAUGCCAAGGAGCUUAAUGGUAACUUGCAAGGUCAAUACCUACCAUGUUGCUAUGGAGAUGUACUUUGUGAAUAAAUAAAACAUCACUAAUGGAAUGUCCCUAACAUUGUUUCUCCAGCUAAUGUAACCAGGUGCUGUUCCACCUCAUCUGAACAGGCUAUUCAAGACUUUGAAAGGUUUUCGAUCACUGGUCCUCCACUGGAGUGUUCCCUGGCUCAUCCUGCCCCAAGGCCUUGGCAAUGCUGUUCCAUCUGCCCACAACACUCUUCCCCUCCCUUGUCAUAUCAAUCAGGCCUCUGCUCAAAUGUCACCUGCUCAGAGAGACCUACCCCUUUGGGGCCCUAUUUAAAAUUACUCCCUUUACCCAUCAAUACUGAAAAUGAUAACAUUUGCAUGGGAGAGGGGAGUUGAAGAUUUUUUUAAAUUUAAUUUUAUUGGCAUAUAGUUGAUUUAUUGCAGUAUAGUUACAACAUUGUAUUAUUUUCAGGUGUACAGCAAAGUGAAUCAGUCAUACAUACACAAACAUCCACUUUUUUUUUUUCCCAUUUAGGCUAUUACAAACUAUUGGGCAGAUUUUCCCGUGCUAUACAGUCAGUUCUUGUUAGUCAUCUAUUUUAUACAAUCGUGUGUAUAUGUUAUUCCAGCCCUCCCAAUUCUUCCCUCCCUGCAACGGAGUGUCACCUAUGGUAACCAUAAGAUUGGUGUUGAAAUCUGUGAAUUUUUGUAUCUGUUGUUUUUUUUUAAUAAGUUCUUUUAUAUCAUUAUUUAUUAGAUUCCACAGAUUUGCCUUUCUCUGUCUGAUUUACUUCACUCAGUAGGAGAAUCUCUAGGUCCAUCCAUGCUGCUGCAAAUGCCAUUAUAUAACAAUUAUUUUUUGCUUACUCAUCCUCUGUCUUCCUACUGGAAUACAAGGACACUAAGAGAAGUCAAAGACUUCACCACUGUAUCCUCAUGGCCUAGAAUAGUGCCUGGAACAUAAAGAGUUGUGGCUAAGACUGCUUGUUUCUCACUUAACAGCCUUGUUCCCCUUCUUCCUUGUUCCCUGUAUCAUCUGGCCAAGAAGUUGUACCCAACUAUAAAACUACAUCUGCAGGCUCUCUUGUCAGUGGAAGUGGUCAAAUGUGUGUAAGCAGAAGUCAUGGGAUGGAGCUUCUUGGAAAACACUUUGAAGGAGGCUUACUCUUUAAAGAGUAAGCCCUUGGCCCAUCCACCUUCCUACUGCUUGGAAUAGGAAUGUAAUGGCUGGAGCUGCAACAGCCAUGCUUGUGUUCAUGAGGUAAGCUUACUAGUAGGAACCACUCUAGAAGGGGGCCUGGGUGUUUGAUACCAAGACUGCCUUCCUCUGGAGAGAAAAAUCUCUACCUUAUUUCAGCUGCAUGAUUAGUGUCAUUUUUUAAUUGUAGCCAAAUCUAAUUCUGAUAUAUGGGUGCAUAGUAAAUAUUUGUUGGAUAAAUAUAUGUGUGCUUUGCUUUUAAAAUUUUAACUUUCGAAAACUUUGUAAAAACAUACCUUAUGACAUUCCCCACCCCAAAUCUCUAAUUAGGCAGUUCUCAAGUGGGGACAGGUUGAUCACAUCGAUCAUACUAGUUUACAACCACUGGGUAGAUGACCCUUCUGAUAGGGAUAGAGUAGGCACAGGUGGUUGUAGAAGUCCCAACAAGGGAUCACUGAUAAAGAAGGAAACCUGGGGGGUGUUGGGAGACCACUCUAAGUUCAGGAAAGCCAGCAGAACAAGGCAGGCUUGCUUAACUAGUGGAGGUGGGAGAACUGCCUCAGGUCACUGGGUGGGGGAUGGGAUGGGGCCUGCAUUCAGAUUCAUACCAGGGGGCAAGAAUUUGAAGACUGCCCUGCAGCUGAUUUGAAUACACACCUUAUGAGAUACUAAGGAGGGGCUGCUACUCCCAGAAAGGAAGAGGCGGGCCUUUCCAACCCCACGCCCCUUGGAUGAUAAAACUGUGGGCCACCAGAUCCUCGGGGAAAAGCUUCCUUUCCUGUCUGUUUGCCUCUCUUACAAGCAUCCUGUCCUCAUAAAUCUGUUUCUUGCCUAUCACUUUGUCUCUCGCUGAAUUCCUUCUGUUCAAGGGCAUAAAGAACCUGAGCCUUGGUGAAUCUGGACACAGGCAAUUUGCGUAGCUUACCUACAUCAGCAAAUUUUUAUCCAUAAGAGAAGAUCAAGGACUGAAUGGAAGGGGGUCUGUCUCUAAACGAUGGAUCUGGAACUUCUAAGAGGGAAACUGGAUGUGAUGGCUAGAGACCCAGCAUCCAUCUUGAACCUAGAGGAACAGAGAGUCACAUCCUAGGAAAGGAUGUGCUUUGGAAAGCUGGAAGAAAUCUCUAGUUCUCAAUAACAAUGGAGGUACCAUACCAGCUCUAGACUGUCCACCUUCAGACUUCCACCUGAGAAAGAAAAAAUUCCAUUUUAUUUAAGCUACAACUUUCCAAGUUUCUAUUUUUCAUAACUUAACCUAAUCCUAACUAAAAAUUUUAGAAUACAUAUACAUGCACCCACAUAACAUUGAAAUAGAUACAUAGUUGUGAAAUAUAUGUUCAGUGGUGGGUAUUAAUUGGCCACAGAAGAGAGGCAGAUUUCAGCAUUUCACUGGAAACCAACAAUUAUAGAUUUAAAUGUUGACAUUUGGCAGGAGUAAAAGCACUUCUUUUUGUGAUUGUGUUUAUGGGUGUUGUCUUUUCUGAAAAGUUGCAGUGUUUGCAUCUAAUAAAUUAAUGAAGUGAAACUUCUAUAUUAAAUUGAGAGAUUGUUUUCUGUUUUAAAACAGUUUUACAGAGCCGUAAGUUUCCAUUUGCAUUGGGUAUUCCAAGGGAAAAAUGUUUCAUCUGCAUUCUAGGCCUCCUUGCCUUCUUUCAUCAAAGCAGCGCCAUUGAAACACCAGGCCUGCAAUCCUAUCCUCUUGUUUCCUAAAGCACCAAAGCUGUGCCGAUUUGCAUAUUAGCUGGCAUAAAUUUGAAUAUUAAUUUAAAUAGGCCUUGCCUCUAAAUCUAUACAGCCUGGUGCCAUUAUACAAAUAACCAGUAUUGAGGGCAUAUAGGUACCUAAAAAUUUUAAACCCUCUCUGUUUAAUUACACUCAGAUUAUACUUAACACAUUUGCUCACGAAAACUCACUCACACAGUUGUCAGAUUAGAGGUUGUGAACUGUACAAUGAAUUUGUUCCCACAGCCAGAUGCACAAGUUUCCAUCCUGGAAAAACUGUUAAUCCAGUUUCAGGAAUGUCUGGGUCCGAAACACUUCCUUAGCCACAAAAGACUGAAAACCAAACUCAAGCUAAAUUGCCUUAAGCUAAAUUGUGAAUUUAUUGGCUCAUUCGACUCAGAAGCCCUAGGGGUUAUCUGACUUUGGGCUCAACCAGGCGGAGGGAUCCAAUGAUUUCUCUCUCCAUCUUUCUGCUUUGCCUGACUCCCCCGGUUGCAUACUCAGAUUCCCAGAUUCCCUCUACCUGUGGUAGCAAGAUACCCCUGCCUGGCCCAAGCUAAUAUUGUCUUGUGCCUUAUAAUCUCAGAAGAAUAAAGGUCCCCUCUCUCCAUAUCAGCUCCUAGUCCAGUUCCCAGCCUUCGUGGUGACAGCCUUGCCAUGUGCAGAUAGGGAGGAAAGUUCCCGAGGAAACAGUGGGAGCAGACAGA
This is a long non-coding RNA of Sus scrofa (pig), 5163 nucleotides long. RefSeq lists it as uncharacterized. NCBI's taxonomy places the organism in Eukaryota, Metazoa, Chordata, Mammalia, Artiodactyla, Suidae. The record is from RefSeq and is a predicted model, not a curated record.